UUUAAAUACAACCAUAAGUUUUCGUGUUCAACUUUAGUCGUCUGUCUUAUUUGAAAAUUUUUCGUAAUUAGUAUUUUUUUCUUACGAGACGAUAAAAUAUAAAUAGCACUUUAUGUAUGACUUAUGUUUUUAAUUUUUUUAAAAAAAUUUUAAACAAGAUGGACGAUUAAAGUUGGGCACGAAUACUCAUUCUUGCACUUAAA
Non-coding RNA from Oryza barthii, 203 nucleotides. The record is from Rfam. NCBI's taxonomy places the organism in Eukaryota, Viridiplantae, Streptophyta, Magnoliopsida, Poales, Poaceae.